GGGGGGGGGGGGGGGGGGGGCGGGGAGAGGGAGGGCGAGGGGGCGGAGGGGGAGCUUGCUCCUCGGACGUGAGCGGCGGACGGGGGAGUAACGCGUGGAUGAGCUACCGAUAAGACGGGGAUAACUUCGGGAAACCGGAGCUAAUACCGGAUAAUAUAUUGAACCGCAUGGUUCAAUAGUGAAAGACGGUUUUGCUGUCACUUAUAGAUGGAUCCGCGCCGCAUUAGCGAGUUGGUAAGGUAACGGGUUACCAAGGCAACGAUGCGUAGCCGACCUGAGAGGGUGAUCGGCCACACUGGAACUGAGACACGGUCCAGACUCCUACGGGAGGCAGCAGUAGGGAAUCUUCCGCAAAGGGCGAAAGCCUGACGGAGCAACGCCGCGUGAGUGAUGAAGGUCUUCGGAUCGUAAAACUCUGUUAUUAGGGAAGAACAAAUGUGUAAGUAACUAUGCACGUCUUGACGGUACCUAAUCAGAAAGCCACGGCUAACUACGUG
RNAcentral lists this ribosomal RNA (497 nucleotides) under uncultured bacterium. Its description in RNAcentral is "partial 16S ribosomal RNA". It matches the Rfam family "Bacterial small subunit ribosomal RNA", at positions 38 to 507 of the family's 1533-position model. The record is from RNAcentral.